RNAcentral lists this unclassified non-coding RNA (157 nucleotides) under uncultured fungus. Its description in RNAcentral is "sequence contains ITS1, 5.8S rRNA gene". Lineage: Eukaryota; Fungi. The record is from RNAcentral.
CCGAGUUGUAACACUCACAAACCCACUGCAAACGUACCCAUUUUGGCGACUCCGGCAGGCGGCCCCAGGGCGGGGCCUCAGCUUCUUCAGGCGCCUGCCGAAGGUGCCGCAACUUUACUCUGUAAUCAUGUAUUCUGAGUCCUAAGACAAAAUAUCA